This 230-nucleotide long non-coding RNA is filed under the name Elaeis guineensis (African oil palm). RNAcentral's name for it is "long non-coding RNA (EGUI_LNC052986)". Lineage: Eukaryota; Viridiplantae; Streptophyta; Magnoliopsida; Arecales; Arecaceae. The record is from RNAcentral.
CUUGGGAGAGAUCAAAUUUGGUCUCAAUUCUUGCAAUCUAGCUAACCCAAUUUUAUAAAUAAUUAGGGUAGGUUGUGCCAUCUGGAGGCAGCCCAAAAGGGGGUGCCUCAUUUCAAGUUAACGCCAAAACCAAGAGUCCUCUUGGUUGAGGACUCCUGGUGCAAAUUUGAGAAGAGCGCAUGUGCUCUCUUUUUUUGGUGUGCCGAAGGACCAAGAGUCCUUCUCCCUUG